UGGGGAAUCUUGCGCAAUGGGCGAAAGCCUGACGCAGCCAUGCCGCGUGAAUGAUGAAGGUCUUAGGAUUGUAAAAUUCUUUCACCGGGGUAGAUAAUGACGGUACCCGGAGAAGAAGCCCCGGCUAACUUCGUG
This 135-nucleotide ribosomal RNA is filed under the name uncultured bacterium. RNAcentral's name for it is "partial 16S ribosomal RNA". It matches the Rfam family "Bacterial small subunit ribosomal RNA", at positions 355 to 507 of the family's 1533-position model. The record is from RNAcentral.